UAGGGAAUCUUCCACAAUGGACGAAAGUCUGAUGGAGCAACGCCGCGUGAGCGAAGAAGGUUUUCGGAUCGUAAAGCUCUGUUGCGAGGGAAGAACAAGUACGGGAGUAACUGCCCGUACCUUGACGGUACCUCGUCAGAAAGCCACGGCUAACUACGUGCCAGCAGCCGCGGUAAUACGUAGGUGGCAAGCGUUGUCCGGAAUUAUUGGGCGUAAAGCGCGCGCAGGCGGUCCUUUAAGUCUGAUGUGAAAGCCCACGGCUCAACCGUGGAGGGUCAUUGGAAACUGGAGGACUUGAGUACAGUAGAGGAAAGCGGAAUUCCACGUGUAGCGGUGAAAUGCGUAGAGAUGUGGAGGAACACCAGUGGCGAAGGCGGCUUUCUGGUCUGUAACUGACGCUGAGGCGCGAAAGCGUGGGGAGCAAACAGG
RNAcentral lists this ribosomal RNA (429 nucleotides) under Bacillota bacterium. Its description in RNAcentral is "Firmicutes bacterium partial 16S ribosomal RNA". It matches the Rfam family "Bacterial small subunit ribosomal RNA", at positions 355 to 776 of the family's 1533-position model. Lineage: Bacteria; Bacillati; Bacillota. The record is from RNAcentral.